Molecule: ribosomal RNA, 550 nt
Filed under: uncultured bacterium
Lineage: Bacteria
Description: bacterial SSU rRNA
Rfam family: Bacterial small subunit ribosomal RNA
Source: RNAcentral
AAAUAGAUACCCGGGUAGUCCACGCCGUAAACGAUGAGCGCUAAGUGUUGGGGGGUUUCCGCCCCUCAGUGCUGCAGCUAACGCAUUAAGCACUCCGCCUGGGGAGUACGGUCGCAAGACUGAAACUCAAAGGAAUUGACGGGGGCCCGCACAAGCGGUGGAGCAUGUGGUUUAAUUCGAAGCAACGCAAAGAACCUUACCAGGUCUUGACAUCCCGGUGACCACUAUGGAGACAUAGUUUCCCCUUCGGGGGCAACGGUGACAGGUGGUGCAUGGUUGUCGUCAGCUCGUGUCGUGAGAUGUUGGGUUAAGUCCCGCAACGAGCGCAACCCUUAUUCUUAGUUGCCAUCAUUCAGUUGGGCACUCUAAGGAGACUGCCGGUGAUAAACCGGAGGAAGUGGGGAUGACGUCAAAUCAUCAUGCCCCUUAUGACCUGGGCUACACACGUGCUACAAUGGACGGUACAAACGGUUGCCAACCCGCGAGGGGAGCUAAUCCGAUAAAACCGUUCUCAGUUCGGAUUGUAGGCUGCAACUCGCCUACAUGAACG